Long non-coding RNA from Gallus gallus (chicken), 6132 nucleotides. Lineage: Eukaryota; Metazoa; Chordata; Aves; Galliformes; Phasianidae. The record is from Ensembl.
CAAAUGGGGUGUGACAUGCAUACGUUUCAACAUGCAGCACUUACUUCUUUAGGACCUUACUUUUUCCACUGUUUUCUCAGUAGACUAUUUGAUUUCCUUUGAAUCGGGCCUAACGAUAACACGGGAUUUGAAGCACGGUUCUCGGCGUUGAGCGCACUGACGGGACCAAGAGGAUUGGGUUAUUGUUGGCAAAGUCCUGCUAGCCUUAAUCAAAGGACCAAACUCAACUCCCAGAAAAGUUAUUUGAGAUGACACAGAUGAGGGACACAGCCAUUACCUGCAGGAUGAGACCUAGGAACUGGCCUCUCUCCCUCCCACGUAGCUCUCUUCAAAGGACGCUAAUUGUCAAACAAACUUGGAAUUUCCAGCUCCAGUUCUGUCAAUCUAUUUGUGAUACUAAGGUUAUCAGAGGCAAAUUAUACAAUUUCUGCACACGGGACAGGUGGUUCAACCCAGUCUGCCAUAAACUCCCUACCUCAGACCAUCUGAUCAUCAGUGCUUCCUUCACCAUGGGUUUUAUCCCAUACAUGUUACCUUCGGGAAGAACAAGGUGGCUGUGGGAACAGCAGCUCCUUUCCCAUGUCUGCAGAGUGGGGCAGUGCCCAGGUCUGCCUGCUCGUACCCGUUCAAAGCAAGCAUCUCAGGAUGUUAAAAACUGGGCAAGGCAUACUGUCACAUUCUGGUCCAAGAGGUGAGACAGUACUUAAGACCUUUUUGAGUGUUUCCUUUGGAUGCAAGAUUGAAGAUAAUUCUCUGGUGCAGCACUAUUUAUUUACAAAGAAUAAACAGAGACUCUGCUCUCCUAAACCAGAGGAGGAAUCAACAGCAUCACGCGACUUCUUUACUCAGAGAGACUCUUUACUCCAGAGAGUUUUCUGCUUCAAGGCAGCUCUACUUUCUAGUUUCCUAGCUAGGCUCUGCAACAAGCACUUUGCCAGCUUCAACCCAGCUCCUUCCUCUCCUAGUUCAUAGAUUUUUCUGGACCUUUCUCCCCACUGCCUGUUCACCGUGCCAUUUCUGCACUGAAGGAGGCUCCUGCAAACCACAGGAGCACGAACUUGACAGACCCGGUCUUCCAGACACCGCCUUGCUCCCCAGAAUACUUCAGACCUCUACAGACAGGGUCAGAGUCAUCAUGCCCUCUUGUUCUGGGCAUGGCUAUGCCAUUGCUGUCAGUGGCUCAUGAGUGACAAGUGUCAGCUGUCUGAAUAAAUGGCAAGUUCCGCUAGAUGUACGUGCACCAUGGCCUUCUGAGCUCAAGUCUCCGUCCCACUGUGCUAGUGAAGAACAGACACGACCACAAAGGCUCAGAACAUGCUGACAGAGAGCACUGAGAAGAGGCUGAGCAAUGUUGGACUUGGCUGAAGUCAGCGGUUGCUCUAUGACAAACAAGGAACCAGAGCCAAGAUAGUGAAAUGUUCGGUUUUUAUUCCAUCGUCCACGUAUCAUGUCCUCGCUCACCAAACACUUUCUGAAAACACAGUCCUGGUACCUCGUGGCUGUGCUCUGUGUGUAAAUGUACUGACACAGUGGUGCUGCCUCCACACACACACUUUCAUCAUUACAUUCCUUUCAUUUUUCUUCUGGGAAUAGCCAUAUUGCAAUGCUAAUACUACUGAUUGUUUGCGAUGUUAUCAUGCAGUUAUACUCCCGUAAAAUGUAAUCAUAAAUACAAUGUGCGUUAGACUUUAUAUAUAUAUGACCAAACAUAAUUGUUUGCUGUCUAGAUGAGGCAUUUUCUAAGAUUUUAUAAACUUUUUCUUUUUAAUUCAACACAAUGCACAAAGUUUAGCACAGAUCCCACAGCAGCUAAAUGUUGCGGGGACUGCCAGGCAGCCCUAUGGCAAUAGGAGAUUACCUUCUAGUGAUGUCUUUCGUGUUACAAUAUCGAUACUCCCUGGUUAUUCCUUGGCAUAUUUCUUCCCCACCUGCUUCUGCAGGGAACUACCUUCCCACAUCCUGUCUCCACAUUCAUAUGUUGCGUUAUCUACACACGAUUAUCUUAUUUUUUAAAUACUGUAGUCUUUUUUGUUUGUUGUGCAGAGUAAACAUUGGCCUCCGUAUAUCCAUCCUUCUCUCUGUCCAGUGUUCUGAGAGUGAAAGCAGCAGUAAAGAGUUUUUGUCAUUGAAGUACUGUAACUACCCACCUGUACAGUAACGAUAACACACACAGUGGACAUAACAACCUAAUCUUCCUACUUUUCUUUGCGUCAACUCCAUGGGGAAAAUGCCAGAGGAGACAUUUAUCAGACGUGUUGUCAUAUCUCUUUGUGUUUUGAACCUCUCCAAAAUGAAAAAGUGAAGCAGUUUGUUUGACUUGCAGAAGGGGUUUUGGCUUACUCCCCAUGAAAAUAUGAUUAUAAAUUCCUCCUGCAUUUACUGUUGGCAUAUUCUAAACAAUUGAGUCCACUGAUUACUGAGUUAUAUAAGAAUUCUUGUGUUAUUUGAGACUUAAUACAUCAGACGCUGUGUAAAAGUGACAUACCUGUUUUUUAACAUAUCAAAUCCAAACCAAAGAGAACUUUUUCUGUUUUGUGGGAUUUUUAUUGCAGGCUGGGGGAGGAGGAAAGAAAACUGUGGGAAUUCUUGCCUCAUACUCCCAAGUUGAUGCUUUCGGUGCAAAUUUUACCCACUUGCAGCUGGGCUGUGAGUAUUGCUGCUCUGUGAUAGUGAUGUUGAUGUCCUUAUUUAAACCUCUGGGGCUCAGCCUCUGUGUCUGAUUCAAGAUUUUGAAAGUCUUGGCAUCUACCCUGAAGCUUCUCGAUGAAUUGUAAGACAUGAAAGAAACUGCAUUUUGCCCAUUCCACUUUUUACCUUAGUUGUGGCACGCCACAUUAUCUGUCACAGAUGGGAAAAACACAUGUGAAUGAAUGUAAUCCAUUUAUUGGUUUAUGGUCACAAAGUCCUCAAGGGAGUGUUCCAAAUCCAGAAUGCUGGAUUUCCUAUUUCAGUAAGUUAGCAGAAAGACGUUUCUUCCUAUUCACUACAUGUCCAGCAUGAUUUGGUAAACUCAUCAAAGGUGAAGAACAACCACAUGUAAGACUAUUCCUCUCAGACAUUUUUGAUGAAUAACUGAUUAAAAAAAAAAAAAGCUCUCUGAGAUCUUCAAAAUGCAAAUGAAGAGAUUUCUACAGAGGGAUGACACAGCUGAAGAACACAUUUCCAGACAACAGUGCUACCCCAUAUUGUAGGAUGAGUAGUUCUUUGUAUUCUGUUGUAUCCUGUGUAUUUUCUAUAGCAUUUGUCCUAUUCUGACACACUCUUAUUUUUUACUAUUACUGACAUAUCAGACCUGAUAUGUCAAACCUGAAUCUUAGACAUUUAGUCAGUGUGUGUUGUAAAUGUGAUUUUUCUGUAAGUUGCUCUUUGGUUGAAAGCUCUCCUUAAAGAAUCGUAAAGCACAGAUACUAAGAGCAAAACGCACUCACAUUGUCCUUUAAGCGUGCUUCAGUUUGUUCACAGAAGGAGUGAGUAAAAGUCCUAUCAGAGUGAAUAAGCAGUCUUUGUUCUUUUAGUUUGGUUUGCCAGUUGUGGACCAAGUUUUUCUGAGACAAGGACAUCUUCCUAAUCAGAAAGUUGUGGAGAUGAACAUUCAUCUGCUGUAGCCACUGAGCAUCCAGCGGUAUUUGGAUAUCUCCAGGUCACACUGGGUUCCCACCACGUUCUAAAUCCACAAGGUGUUUAGAAUGGAUCAUAGAUCCCAUUUGAUAAAAUGUGCAAGUGAGGCAUAAUGUGUAACUUAUUAAACUGAUAGCUCAGGAAUUGAUUACUCAUUGGCAAGAAGCUCAUAGAGCAAAGUAAGAACAUACUGAAGAAGAAUGUAUUAAACAGAUUUCUGCAGGUAGGCUGUGUGGUCUCCAACAUUAACAGAGGAAGCAGGAAGUCCAGCACUCUGCUCUUGAUUUCACUAUCAGCUAUUUAAUAGCACUGUUUAUUCUUAUCCUCACAGUUUGUCCAACAGUGUCACUUCGACUCUUUAAAGACGGGACCCCAGCUGAAUCCCUUCUUCUUUAGGGUUCGGUUUCUCUAUCUCAUCGUUGUGUUUUAGAACUGUAUUGUUAGGAUGACUUGGCAAUGUUUGCUGAGCACUUUGAAGAAACGAAGCAAAGUAUUAAGUUAUAAGUAGGGUAGUUAUUUAAGAAAAACUUCAUUAUUUUUCAAAAGCAAACAAUUUUGGCAAGAUGAUAAAAGGAAGAAAGAAAAAGGGAGUGUAGCACUGAAGACAGUAUGCUCAUUUUCUUCUCACCAAACAGUAAAUGCUUUAGGAACACUACAUUCUUUCAUUCUCAUCUCGCACUCAAGAGCAGUCAUUUCAUAUCUCUAUUUACCUUUCUUAAGCCAUACUCUGUGCUCAUGCUUUUCAGCACUUUAUACAUUUAUUUAAGGAUCAACUCAGAGCACUUAUUCAUCUUAUUAGGAAAACACAUUACAUUCACACAUCAGAGCCUGCAACUGCAAAGCUACUAUAAAUCAUAAGAUAUCACUGACACCCCCCUUUCAUCUUCUCAGAGAUGCAAUGCUCUUUGCAGGGUUUUUGCUUUCACUGAGGUUGCUUUGCUACUUCCUCCUGGGGACUGAAAUAAACAGUUUUCCUUUCCUUUCUCAGCUGGUAUCUUCUUUCCUCCUGAUAGCGCACGGCAGCGUGGCUGUUAGUUGUUGGUGUAUACAGGUCAGCCCAUGCAUCUCUGGCAUUCCAAAGCAAUAUUGUAACGACAGCUCCUUUACCAAAAGGCAGUGCUCUUAUCAAAAUCGUUAAUGUAAUUUUCAUGAGCUCAUAUUAUUAUGGCACUUCUAUCAGUAAUAUAUUUACUGUAUAUUUACUGAACAUAUUCCUUUUUAAACAGAAGCAAGAAAGAUAAAAGCAAGGAGGUGCAGCUCAAGACAUGACAUUUGCAUGUUAGGAAGAAUUGCAUAAAACAUUGACCUUGCUUUCAGUACUUUUGUGCUGAACUCAAGUAGUAUAAGUCAGGAAAACGCCCAGUGAGAGGAGUAAGUAAUUCAAGCAAAAGGAAAAGCUCAUCACACAGAAGAGACAACAUCGAGAACGCAAGAAAGUUUUUCAGAUGGGUCAGCGGUGGGAUGGUGUCAUAGGCAGCCAGAAGAAGGAUAAGAUUUGGAGGAUGUCUGCAGAGAAGCAGUCAGGACUAUUUGAAAACAACAAAACCCAAAGUUAUUACCCACUGUGAGCCCUGCUGGUAAUUCUGUAGCAUACUUUGGCUCCAUCCACAAGUUGCUGCCUGCCGGCUCAUUAAGUCAAUCCACUUGCUUUUUAUCGCUGACGAUAAGCAUGGAAACGUUUUGGGCGAUCUGUGACACCAUCAUUCAAUCUACAGCCUAGCUGUGGGGAGAUUAAUGAGACUCCACAGCUCUCCUGAAAUCUUCUUUUGGUGAUUGUGAAAACAGAAGUGCGAUUUCUGACAAAAGAAAGGCAAUAACUUCUUGUGAACUUUUCUUUAAAAUAAAGCCCCAAAGCAAUAACCUGAUCUGGACAGUUCAGGUGCAGAGAGCUGCUGUGAAUCAGCAGUUAAGAUGUGACGCAGCAAGCUGCAGUGUAUGGAGGCAAAUUUCUUGAUCUUUUCUGCUUAAAGUCAUGGUGAAGUCCAUCGCUUGUUUUAGUUAUCUGCUUUCUGAAUAUUGUACGUUAGCUAAGAAGUCUGAUGUGUUCUGCGGGACGGGUCACAAGGUACUGACCUGACGGUGCAUUGAGAACGUGCUGGAGAUAAGCUGUUUGUCUGCCUUUCUGCCUAAUAAUGAAAGGCACGACUCUGACUUUAAUUAAGCUGAUCUAUCCAGAAUGGGAACGUGAGGUUUUUUUUUUUUUUAAAAGACACUUUCUGAAAAGAUUCAUUUCCCGCUUCAUAACGGGGAAAUUACUUCUUUUUGGAUUAGAAAACAUCAUCUUUGGGGUUUGCAGGCUGAUGUCUCCACGGCGUGAACCCAGUAUUCACACAGGAUUGUGUAAUGGUAAAAGAAUUUGUCUGGAACAGCCAGCUUUAUGAUUGACUGGUGAUAUUCUGCUGAAGAAGAUCUGAGCGAAGAUAACAUUUUCAAAAGAAAAAUAUUGCUGGCACUUGACUACCUGUUCUGUAUAGCAUUUAUUCGCACUUGUCAACUAACCAAAAUAAAACCCUU